This is a small nuclear RNA of 164 nucleotides. Its record names the gene U1. It matches the Rfam family "U1 spliceosomal RNA". From Rfam's summary of the family: U1 is a small nuclear RNA (snRNA) component of the spliceosome (involved in pre-mRNA splicing). The record is from Ensembl.
AUAUUCAUUUGGCAGAGAAAAUACCAUCUUCAUGAAGGUGGUUUUGCCUUGAAGAGUCUCCUCUGUUUCUCUCCAGAAGUGCUGACCUCUGCAGUUUUCCCAAAUGUGGGAAACUUGACUGCAGUACUUGGCGGGGAAGGGGGCUGUGUUUGCACUUUCUCGGG